UUAAUGAUAUAUAUGAUCAUGUACAAUUUUUUGAUUUUUUUCCCUUCUGAUUUAGGUCUGAUUUCUCUGUUUGUUGAUACGCAUUCAUAUUUUUGAUACCCCCACAGCAUAAUAAAGAAAAAAAUUUGUUUGCAUGUGAUGGUGAAUUUGGGGGUUAAUGUGUGAAGUGUGGUUGAUUUAUUUUUUGUGGUAAUCUGAUGAACUUAAAGAAACAGAUUGAUUCUUUUUUGGAUUUGAGGAGCGACAUUGGCUCUACUUGCAUACAUAGGCUUUUGCAUGUUGUGUUGAUUCUGUGUUUUGAAGGGUUGAAAGUUGAUUCUUUGAGCAAUGUG
RNAcentral lists this long non-coding RNA (332 nucleotides) under Actinidia chinensis (golden kiwifruit). RNAcentral's name for it is "long non-coding RNA (ACHI_LNC005015)". The record is from RNAcentral. Lineage: Eukaryota; Viridiplantae; Streptophyta; Magnoliopsida; Ericales; Actinidiaceae.